RNAcentral lists this ribosomal RNA (468 nucleotides) under uncultured bacterium. RNAcentral describes it as "partial 16S ribosomal RNA". It matches the Rfam family "Bacterial small subunit ribosomal RNA", at positions 28 to 507 of the family's 1533-position model. The record is from RNAcentral.
GACGAACGCUGGCGGCGUGCUUAACACAUGCAAGUCGAACGGAAAGGCCCUGCUUUUGUGGGGUGCUCGAGUGGCGAACGGGUGAGUAACACGUGAGUAACCUGCCCUUGACUUUGGGAUAACUUCAGGAAACUGGGGCUAAUACCGGAUAGGAGCUCCUGCUGCAUGGUGGGGGUUGGAAAGAUUCGGCGGUUGGGGAUGGACUCGCGGCUUAUCAGCUUGUUGGUGGGGUAGUGGCUUACCAAGGGUUUGACGGGUAGCCGGCCUGAGAGGGUGACCGGCCACAUUGGGACUGAGAUACGGCCCAGACUCCUACGGGAGGCAGCAGUGGGGAAUAUUGCACAAUGGGCGGAAGCCUGAUGCAGCAACGCCGCGUGCGGGAUGACGGCCUUCGGGUUGUAAACCGCUUUCGCCUGUGACGAAGCGUGAGUGACGGUAAUGGGUAAAGAAGCACCGGCUAACUACGUG